RNAcentral lists this ribosomal RNA (430 nucleotides) under Actinomycetes bacterium. Its description in RNAcentral is "Actinobacteria bacterium partial 16S ribosomal RNA". It matches the Rfam family "Bacterial small subunit ribosomal RNA", at positions 355 to 776 of the family's 1533-position model. The record is from RNAcentral. Lineage: Bacteria; Bacillati; Actinomycetota; Actinomycetes.
UGGGGAAUAUUGGACAAUGGGCGAAAGCCUGAUCCAGCCAUGCCGCGUGUGUGAAGAAGGCCUUUUGGUUGUAAAGCACUUUAAGCGAGGAGGAGGCUACCGAGAUUAAUACUCUUGGAUAGUGGACGUUACUCGCAGAAUAAGCACCGGCUAACUCUGUGCCAGCAGCCGCGGUAAUACAGAGGGUGCGAGCGUUAAUCGGAUUUACUGGGCGUAAAGCGUGCGUAGGCGGCUUUUUAAGUCGGAUGUGAAAUCCCUGAGCUUAACUUAGGAGUUGCAUUCGAUACUGGGAAGCUAGAGUAUGGGAGAGGAUGGUAGAAUUCCAGGUGUAGCGGUGAAAUGCGUAGAGAUCUGGAGGAAUACCGAUGGCGAAGGCAGCCAUCUGGCCUAAUACUGACGCUGAGGUACGAAAGCAUGGGGAGCAAACAGG